UUUAAUUAAAACAUCAGAAAUUGAUAAUUCUAUAACGUUUCCUUCCCACUGUUAUUCAAACGGCAAAUAAAUUAUAUAUUCCACUAUCA
Long non-coding RNA from Sinocyclocheilus grahami, 89 nucleotides. RefSeq lists it as uncharacterized. NCBI's taxonomy places the organism in Eukaryota, Metazoa, Chordata, Actinopteri, Cypriniformes, Cyprinidae. The transcript is spliced from 3 exons. The record is from RefSeq and is a predicted model, not a curated record.